CAGUCGCCGCGGUAAUACGUAGGUGGCAAGCGUUGUCCGGAAUUAUUGGGCGUAAAGGGCUCGCAGGCGGUUUCUUAAGUCUGAUGUGAAAGCCCCCGGCUCAACCGGGGAGGGUCAUUGGAAACUGGGAAACUUGAGUGCAGAAGAGGAGAGUGGAAUUCCACGUGUAGCGGUGGAAUGCGUAGAGAUGUGGAGGAACACCAGUGGCGAAGGCGACUCUCUGGUCUGUAACUGACGCUGAGGAGCGAAAGCGUGGGGAGCGAACAGGAUUAGAUACCCCCGUAGUCCCUGUCUCUUAUAC
RNAcentral lists this ribosomal RNA (301 nucleotides) under uncultured bacterium. RNAcentral's name for it is "partial 16S ribosomal RNA". It matches the Rfam family "Bacterial small subunit ribosomal RNA", at positions 509 to 807 of the family's 1533-position model. The record is from RNAcentral.